CCCGACAAAGGCAAAGCCUGAGUAAUCAGGCGGCGCAAAGUUACGGGUCCUUGUUUGUGUUUUCAAAUGCGAAUCAGGAUCGCCGGACCGCCGAAG
This 96-nucleotide non-coding RNA is filed under the name Marinobacterium aestuarii. Its description in RNAcentral is "Marinobacterium sp. ST58-10 c-di-GMP-I-GGC riboswitch aptamer". It matches the Rfam family "c-di-GMP-I-GGC riboswitch aptamer". RNAcentral also lists the same sequence under 1 other name. Lineage: Bacteria; Pseudomonadati; Pseudomonadota; Gammaproteobacteria; Oceanospirillales; Oceanospirillaceae. The record is from Rfam by way of RNAcentral.